GUCAAGAGGGCAACAGCCCAGAUCGUCAGCUAAGGUCCCUAAAUGUAAGUUAAGUGGUAAAGGAUGUGGAAUUGCACAGACAACCAGGAUGUUGGCUUAGAAGCAGCCACUCAUUUAAAGAGUGCGUAAUAGCUCACUGGUCGAGUGAUUCUGCGCCGAAAAUUUCCGGGGCUAAAACUUACUACCGAAGCUACGGCAUCAUUAUGAUGGGUAGGGGAGCUUUCUAUGCGGCUUGAAGCAUGACCGUAAGGACAUGUGGACUGCAUAGAAGUGAGAAUGUUGGCAUGAGUAGCGAGAUGUGGGUGAGAAUCCCACAGGCCGUAAACCCAAGGUUUCCAGGGGAAGGUUCGUCCGCCCUGGGUUAGUCAGGACCUAAGCCGAGGCCGAAAGGCGUAGGUGAUGGACAACAGGUUGAUAUUCCUGUACCACCAAUAACCGUUUGAGAAAUGGGAUGACACAGUAGGAUAAGCUAACCGCACUGUUGGUUAUGUGCGGGCAAGUAUUGAGGCAGUUCCGAUAGGCAAAUCCGUCGGAAUAAUGCUGGGGUACGAUGCGGAGCGAAAUUUAGUAGCGAAGUAGCUGAUUUCACACUGUCGAGAAAAGUCUCUAUCGAGGUUAAAGGUGCCUGUACCGCAAACCGACACAGGUGGGUGAGGAGAGUAUCCUAAGGCCAGCGAGAGAACUGUUGUUAAGGAACUCGGCAAAAUGACCCCGUAACUUAGGGAGAAGGGGUGCCUUCGAAAGAAGGCCGCAGAGAAUAGGCCCAAGCGACUGUUUACCAAAAACAUAGGUUUCUGCUAAGUCGCAAGACGAUGUAUAGGAGCUGACGCCUGCCCGGUGCUGGAAGGUUAAGGGGAUCUGUUAGAGCAAUCGAAGCAGUGAACUUAAGCCCCAGUAAACGGCGGCCGUAACUAUAACGGUCCUAAGGUAGCGAAAUUCCUUGUCGGGUAAGUUCCGACCCGCACGAAAGGCGUAACGAUUUGGGCACUGUCUCAACAACAGACUCGGUGAAAUUGUAAUACCGGUGAAGAUGCCGGUUACCUGCGACAGGACGGAAAGACCCCAUGGAGCUUUACUGUAGCUUGACAUUGAGUCUCGGUGCUACAUGUACAGGAUAGGUGGGAGACUAUGAAGCAUGGACGUCAGUCUGUGUGGAGUCAUCCUUGGGAUACCACCCUUGUAGUACUGGGAUUCUAACCAGAGGCCAUGAAUCUGGUCUUGGGACACUGUCAGGUGGACAGUUUGACUGGGGCGGUCGCCUCCCAAAAAGUAACGGAGGCGCUCAAAGGUUCUCUCAGUACGGUCGGAAAUCGUACGAAGAGUGUAAAGGCAAAAGAGAGCUUGAUUGCAAGACAUACAGGUCGAGCAAGGACGAAAGUCGGACUUAGUGAUCCGGUGGUUCCGCAUGGAAGGGCCAUCGCUCAACGGAUAAAAGCUACCCUGGGGAUAACAGGCUGAUCUCCCCCAAGAGUCCACAUCGACGGGGAGGUUUGGCACCUCGAUGUCGGCUCAUCACAUCCUGGGGCUGUAGUAGGUCCCAAGGGUUGGGCUGUUCGCCCAUUAAAGUGGUACGCGAGCUGGGUUCAGAACGUCGUGUGACAGUUCGGUCCCUAUC
RNAcentral lists this ribosomal RNA (1615 nucleotides) under human gut metagenome. RNAcentral's name for it is "bacterial LSU rRNA". It matches the Rfam family "Bacterial large subunit ribosomal RNA", at positions 1010 to 2642 of the family's 2925-position model. The record is from RNAcentral.